ACACGCAUGACACACUGCAUAUCAAUAAGCGGAGGAAAAGAAACUAACAAGGAUUCCCUAGUAACGGCGAGUGAAGCGGGAAGAGCUCAAAUUUGAAAUCUUCAAGGUUCUACCUUGACGAAUUGUAGUUUAUAGAAGUGUUUUCUGUUAGUAGAGUAGUAAAAGUUCUUUGGAAUAGGACAUCAUAGAGGGUGAGAAUCCCGUAUUUGGACUAUUCUUCCUAGCGUUGUGAUACACUUUCAAAGAGUCGGAUUGUUUGGGAAUGCAGUCCAAAUGGGUGGUAAAUUUCAUCUAAAGCUAAAUAUUGGCGAGAGACCGAUAGCGAACAAGUACCGUGAGGGAAAGAUGAAAAGAACUUUGAAAAGAGAGUUAAACAGUACGUGAAAUUGUCAAAAGGGAAGCGUUUGACACCAGUGUUGUUUUUCCGAAAAUCAAUUACGAAUGUUUUGUUUUUAAGAAGUUAUGACUUCAUCGGCAUGCUUCUUUCUUUACGAAACUUUCUUAAUGCACUUUUCGGUUAACAAGUCAACAUCAAUUUCUUUUGUUGUAAAAGGGUAUGAGGAAGGUGGCUUGCUCUUCGGCGCAAGUGUUUAUAGCCUUGUAUCUCUGCAAUCGGAGAGAUUGAGGUCUGCAGCGUAGAUCCUUCGGGGUUAGAUACAUUGGUGCUAAGCUAUAGCCUUGUAUAGACAACUUGUUGACUAUGCUCAGUCAUGUAGCUUACUCGCUGAUGCUAUUUCACCUACGCUUAGGAUGUUGAGCGCAUGUCUCUCUCU
Molecule: ribosomal RNA, 773 nt
Filed under: uncultured Neocallimastigales
Lineage: Eukaryota; Fungi; Neocallimastigomycota; Neocallimastigomycetes; Neocallimastigales
Description: partial large subunit ribosomal RNA
Rfam family: Eukaryotic large subunit ribosomal RNA
Source: RNAcentral